This 884-nucleotide ribosomal RNA is filed under the name uncultured Clostridia bacterium. RNAcentral describes it as "SSU rRNA". It matches the Rfam family "Bacterial small subunit ribosomal RNA", at positions 8 to 916 of the family's 1533-position model. The record is from RNAcentral. Lineage: Bacteria; Bacillati; Bacillota; Clostridia.
AGAGUUUGAUCCUGGCUCAGGACGAACGCUGGCGGCGUGCCUAACACAUGCAAGUCGAGCGAGAGACUUCGGUCUCUAGCGGCGGACGGGUGAGUAACACGUGGGUAACCUGCCUCAUAGAGGGGGAUAGCCUCCCGAAAGGGAGAUUAAUACCGCAUAACAUCAUGCUAACGCAUGUUAGUAUGAUCAAAGGAGCAAUCCGCUAUGAGAUGGACCCGCGGCGCAUUAGCUAGUUGGUGAGGUAAAGGCUCUCCAAGGCGACGAUGCGUAGCCGACCUGAGAGGGUGAUCGGCCACAUUGGAACUGAGACACGGUCCAGACUCCUACGGGAGGCAGCAGUGGGGAAUAUUGCACAAUGGGCGAAAGCCUGAUGCAGCAACCCCGCGUGAGUGAUGAAGGCCUUCGGGUUGUAAAGCUCUGUCUUUUGGGACGAUAAUGACGGUACCAAAGGAGGAAGCCACGGCUAACUACGUGCCAGCAGCCGCGGUAAUACGUAGGUGGCAAGCGUUGUCCGGAUUUACUGGGCGUAAAGGAUGCGUAGGUGGAUAUUUAAGUGGGAUGUGAGAUACCCGGGCUUAACCUGGGUGCUGCAUACCAAACUGGAUAUCUGGAGUGCAGGAGAGGUAAGUGGAAUUCCUGGUGUAGCGGUGAAAUGCGUAGAGAUUAGGAAGAACACCAGUGGCGAAGGCGACUUACUGGACUGUAACUGACACUGAGGCAUGAAAGCGUGGGGAGCAAACAGGAUUAGAUACCCUGGUAGUCCACGCCGUAAACUAUGGGUACUAGGUGUGGGAGGUAUCGACCCCUUCCGUGCCGCCGUUAACACAAUAAGUACCCCGCCUGGGGAGUACGGUCGCAAGAUUAAAACUCAAAGGAAUUGACGG